Molecule: ribosomal RNA, 468 nt
Filed under: uncultured bacterium
Lineage: Bacteria
Description: partial 16S ribosomal RNA
Rfam family: Bacterial small subunit ribosomal RNA
Source: RNAcentral
GACGAACGCUGGCGGCGUGCUUAACACAUGCAAGUCGAACGGAAAGGCCCUGCUUUUGUGGGGUGCUCGAGUGGCGAACGGGUGAGUAACACGUGAGUAACCUGCCCUUGACUUUGGGAUAACUUCAGGAAACUGGGGCUAAUACCGGAUAGGAGCUCCUGCUGCAUGGUGGGGGUUGGUAAGUUUCGGCGGUUGGGGAUGGACUCGCGGCUUAUCAGCUUGUUGGUGGGGUAGUGGCUUACCAAGGCUUUGACGGGUAGCCGGCCUGAGAGGGUGACCGGCCACAUUGGGACUGAGAUACGGCCCAGACUCCUACGGGAGGCAGCAGUGGAGAAUAUUGCACAAUGGGCGGAAGCCUGAUGCAGCAACGCCGCGUGCGGGAUGACGGCCUUCGGGUUGUAAACCGCUUUCGCCUGUGACGAAGCGUGAGUGACGGUAAUGGGUAAAGAAGCACCGGCUAACUACGUG